AAAAAAUUUAAAAAGAACAGAAAAAAAGGAAAACAAUGAGAUACAGAGUCAAGUCAGAAUAAGUCAUUUAAAUAAAUAAUAAUGCUACAAAUCAGAAAAAAAUUAAAGGUAUGUUAAUUAUUAGUCUCAGAGAGCAGUACCUACAACCUAAAGAAUCAAUACUGAGGGAUUUUUCAAGAGAAACCACCACCGCUACGGGGGCGGGGGAGGGGGCGUGGAGGUGGUUUAUACCAACAGACAAUCCGGGGAAAGGCCAGUGGCCGCCGCUUCCCAGUUGAGGCACCCGCCCGCCCGCGGGGUGCGCGCAAAGCCUCCCAUCACGCCUGCGCUGGGCUCGGACGCGGGCUCGCCUUUCCCCGACGCCCGGCCGUCCAGGACGGGGUGAAAAACUGCGUGACACGCAACGAGCGUGGCGGCCAUCUUCGUCUUCUGGGCAUGUCAGCUGAGCCGGUUUGAGCAGAAGAGGAGCGUUGCGCAAGCGCGCCCAAGACGGUCCCAGGUAACUCCCAUCUGACGGGCGAGGCGUCGCCGUCGUCGCCGGAAGUUUGCCGUUUCUGCGCCGCGGGAGAGGCGGCGGUGGCGGCAGAAGCAGCUGAGCGUCCCUGGGUACCCGGAUGUGAGGCGGUCUACGGGCUCGCGUCGGACUCUCUGCCAGGAGUGAGGAAGGUACGCGAGCUUCCCCACCGGCUCCGCCGCCCGCUGUCGCGCCCCCGGCGUCCUCGCAGCGCUGCUGCCAGCCCCUCCGGCGAGCCGGACGCUUCUCCCCCUUCCUGUCCCACCCUCUGGGUCGUUGCCUCGCACGCCUCUUCCUACUCCUCGGGUCUCAGUUCUCGGCGCCCCUGGUAGAGAGUGGGCGGCUCGGAGAACGCGGUCGCCCGAGGCAGGCAGGCAGCCUGCCCGUGUCGGUUGCCUAGUCGCCGCAUCACCUGCCACAUCCCGCUAGGCGGUCACAGAAAUAUUUAAGGUUAAUAGCCAAAUACAAAGGAAGUUAAUAGGAAGCAUCAUUCAUUAGACGCAUCAUCCAUCAACCUGAAGAAAAAAGUUACAUGUAAUUUUCAUUUCAGUAAGGUGCUGUGAAAUGUGUUAAAAGGAAAUUAUAAGGAAUGAUUUUGUCAAAUUUUUAUGAGUUAUGGUGGCUGAAAGAUCAAUUCAGUCUUGGGGGAAAGGAACUAAAUGCCAGCACAAAAGGAAAUCUCUAUUAAUAGAGUAUUUUAUUAAACGGGAGUGGUUAGAUAAGAAUUUUAAGCCAACAGACUUAGCAAACAAGGAGAGAAACGUGUUAGCUGUAAGACAUGUUUCCAGUGAAUCAAAGUCCAGUAACUGUAGACUUCAGAAGAAAAAAGUUUUCAAAAACUUUUUCAAAACAGACAAGUCAGUGAUAAAUAACUCCUUCAGUAAUAGGGCUAGGCCUGAAAACUAAUAUUAAUUGAAAAUUUAACAAAACAAAUCAAAUUUGAGUGAAACAUUUUUCAUAAAAAGUUCUAAAAAUAGAACUAAUUUAAAUUAGAUUUAAAAUUUCCACAAAUUUCUAUUACCUUGUCCAAAAUAAGGCAAAUAUAUUUUAGCCUUCAUGCCAGCUUUUCUCAUGUCAUAAGGAUGACAGAAAUCUUAGCAAACUAGUAUUUUUUGUUGAAAAAGUAUAUCAGUAUCAGCUAAAAUUGAUUUUUAAGACCUGCUCUUCAGUAGUAACAGUAGACAUUCAGCAUUUACACCUACUGGAACACAAAAAUUUCAAAAAUUACUCAGAAAAAGAGGACCGUACUCAGGAAUGAUGUCCAUUCAGGAGAAAUCAAAAGAAAAUUCCUCUAGUGCUAUUACAAAGAGUGAAGAUAAGAAUCUAGAAACACAAAUUCAAGAUUCUCAAAAGACUCCAGCAAAAAAACCAGGUCCAAAGGAAGCUGUAAAAUCACUGGUUAAUUCUUCCAAUAAAAGUAGAACAAAUCAGUCUGAAUUAGGAACAUGUAUGAGUACAAGGUCAGCAUCCAGUGAUAAAAAACCUGGUAAAUCAAUUAAUAAAAAUAUGGUGACUGUAAAGGGACAUUCACAACAAGAAUCUAUAAAAAAGAAAUUGUCUCAGAAAAAAUCAGUGCAUGAAACCCCUAAAUCACAUGAACAGCUUAAUAGGAGAUCACAAAGACUACAACAGUUAACAGAGGUUUCAACAAGGUCUCUGCGUAGUAGAGAAAUUCAUGGUCAAGUUCAAGCAGCUAAACAAAGUUUGCCAUCAACAAGGAAAGAGCACUGUAGCAAUACUCAAAGUAAAUCUAAUAAAGUUAAAACAAAUCAGAAACAUGUGAAAAGAAAAGUACUGGAAAUAAACUCGGAUUCUAAAGAGGAUGAAAAUUCUGUAAUGAAUGAAGUAAUAAAUUCCCCCAAAGGAAAAAAACGCAAAAUAGAGCCUCAGACAGCUUAUACUUGUAGUUCUCAGUGCAUAAAAGAAUCUGAAAAGUGUCUUCAGAAGAAUACUAGAAAAGAGGAAACAAAAUCUGUGCCUGUAACAACUUCUGAGAUAAAAAGAUCAAAAAAGGCUACUUCAGUGGUAUCUAAAAAGAAUGAGAUGAAGAAGUCAGUUCAUACACAAGUGAAUACUAGUGCAAAACCCCAAAAAAGUCCACAGCCGUCAGUGCCUGAACAAAGUGUAGAUAAUGAGCUGGAGCAAGCAGGAAAGAGCAAACGAGGGAGCAUUCUCCAGCUCUGUGAAGAAAUUGCUGGUGAAAUUGAGUCAGAUACUGUAGAGGUAAAAAAAGAAUCUUCGCAAAUGGAAAAUAUAAAGGAGGAGAAGCCUACAGAAAUAAAAUUGGAAGAGACCGAUACAGAAAGACAGAUACUUCAUCAGAAGGAAACAAAUCAGGAUGUUCAGUGUAAUCGUUUCUUCCCCAGUAGAAAAACAAGGCCUGUGAAAUGUAUACUAAAUGGAAUAAACAGCUCAACUAAAAAGAACUCGAACUGGACUAAAAUUAAGCUCUCAAAAUUUAAUUCUGCACAGCAGAAUAAAUUAGACACUCAAGUUUCCCCUAAAUUGGGCUUAUUACGAACCAAUUUUUCACUACCACCGUUAGAAAUGCAUCAUCCAGUGACUCAGAGUACAUUUUUAGGGUCAAAAUCAUAUGAUGAUAAAAAGAAAGCUUGCCAGCAGGAAGAAAUGAAAGAAAUUAAUUCUGAGGAAGUUAAUGAUAUUACGGUUGAAAUUAAUAAAACCACAAAAAGGGCUCCUGAAAAUUGUCAUUUGGAUAAUCAGAUAAAGCCACCUCCUGACCAACCGCUGGAUAACCAGAAGAAAGAUUCUUUUGAAUCAACCCCAGAUAAGAAUUGCAGCCUAUGUUUGGAAUCCAACCUUGGAAAUAAUCCAGUGGAAAAUACUAGUUCUGUUUCAACUCUGCUCAGUCAAGCAAAUGUUGAUACAGGGGAGAAUAAAUUUCCAGGUUCAGCUCCCAAACAGCACAGUAUAUUCAAUAACCAAACAUCUAAGACCAGUGAUAACAGGGGGACACCGCCAAAUCAUUCUUGGCCUAAGUGUAAUUCCCAUUUGGAGAUAAGAAUUCCUAGAGACUUGAAACUAAAAGAAGCAGAGAAAGCUGAUGAAAAACAGUUGAUCAUCGAUGCAGGACAAAAAAGAUUUGGAGCAGUUUCUUGUAAUGUUUGUGGCAUGCUUUAUACAGCUUCAAAUCCAGAAGAUGAAACACAGCAUCUGCUUUUCCACAACCAGUUUAUAAGUGCUGUCAAAUAUGUGGUUCUGCUCAUUAAUCACCACGAGUGUGGAUCUGAAGAAGAGUUUAUUACCCCUCUUUUUUUGAGUAUGUUUAACUUCAGAUACACACAACGUAGCCUCUCCUUCCCUAUUAGAUUCUUAGAAGGGAUGGAAAAAGGAAAGAAUACUGGCUGAAUAUCCAGACGGCAGGAUAAUAAUGGUUCUUCCUGAAGACCCAAAGUAUGCCCUGAAAAAGGUGGACGAGAUUAGAGAGAUGGUUGAUAAUGAUUUAGGUUUCCAGCAGGCUCCACUGAUGUGCUAUUCCAGAACGAAAACACUUCUCUUUAUUUCUAAUGACAAAAAAGUAGUUGGUUGCCUAAUAGCAGAACAUAUCCAAUGGGGCUACAGAGUUAUAGAAGAAAAACUUCCAGUUAUCAGGUCAGAAGAAGAAAAAGUCAGAUUUGAAAGGCAAAAAGCCUGGUGCUGCUCAACAUUGCCAGAGCCUGCCAUCUGUGGGAUCAGUCGCAUAUGGGUAUUCAGCAUGAUGCGUCGGAGGAAAAUUGCUUCCCGCAUGAUUGAAUGCCUAAGGAGUAACUUUAUAUAUGGCUCAUAUUUGAGUAAAGAAGAAAUUGCUUUCUCAGAUCCUACUCCAGAUGGAAAACUGUUUGCAACACAGUACUGUGGCACCGGUCAGUUUCUGGUAUAUAAUUUUAUUAAUGGACAAAAUAGCACCUAAAGUAAAUUCAUGCCUACAGUAUCAGAAGACAUCUACUGAAGAGAAUGGAUUGGUUGCUGUCUUUAACCAGGAACUAGGGCCAUUUUUAUUACAAUGAACUCAGGACUGGCAACAACCAUAAGGUUGUUCCAUUUUCAUAAAAUUGGAAAAAAUGCAGUAAUUGCUUAUUGUUGUUUUUGUUUUUUAAAGAAGAUAUUUUAUUAUCUUUUACAGAAAUUUAUGAUUGAUGUAUUUUAUCUAUAGUUAUUUAGACAUGUUUACAUGCAGCAGAUAAUUGUUCAUAGUGGACUGAAAACUUAAUGCAAGGACUAUGGUCUCAGUGAUAAGUAUAUUUUGAAGUUCUUAAUUAUGGAAAUAUACCAGUGUAGCUUGGUACUGUAUUUUUUAUAUUGAUCUGCUGAUACCAGUUAUAGUUGUAAAGAUUGUAUUUUCCCAGAGUGGAAACCAGUGUUUUUGCAUCAUUAAUAAAGGAGGGUAUGAUAUUACAUGUUUAGGAAUUCACAGCUAAUUGUUAAAGGGCCUGAAAUACACUUUAAAGAAAUUCUUACAAAAAAGCAAAGCUCCAUUAGCAAGGAAGAAUUUGAAGUAUUGAGCUUUUUCUUCCAUUUUACUCUUUCCUAUUCUGAUGGCAGCAAGAACUGGAAAGUGGGAAAGAACUGAGGCUUUCCUUUUUGGAGAGCUAUGAAUGACUAGAAUUAGAAUGGGACCCUUUAGUUUAUUAUUCUUUUGUUCUGGUUUUACUUUUUAAAAUAAAUGAAAAUUUGGCACACUUAGGGUGUUAACAAAUCCCAAAGAGGCUGAUAAAAAACCCUGUUGAAUAGUUGCAAGCUAAAUAUGAUUGACUUGGUAUCUGCUUGUUACUCCUCAGAAAUACUACACUGCGUAUAUGUCCUUAUUACUGGACUUCAUUUUGAUACUUGUCUAUCCUUCAUAGUGCCCUCUACUUUUAAAGGGUUUAUAUGUUGAAAAACUGCUGUGGCCUUUUAUGACCUGUAUAUAAUUGUAGAAUAAAAUAAUAAAAUACUUGAUAGCUUUUUCUAAGUGAUAAAUGUGAUAA
RNA transcript from Sus scrofa (pig), 5481 nucleotides. It is a transcript of the gene named establishment of sister chromatid cohesion N-acetyltransferase 1, with no coding region annotated. Lineage: Eukaryota; Metazoa; Chordata; Mammalia; Artiodactyla; Suidae. The record is from RefSeq and is a predicted model, not a curated record.